GAAUUACCACAAUACAACAUGGAAUGUUUCAACACCUAGAAAACUUAACUUAUAUGUACGUAUUAUGUUUUUAUAAUAUCUCCUGACACAAUACCAUACAUAAUUUUGUUAUUGUGAACCAUAAUAUUUUCACGGAUAAUUAAUUGCAAAUGUAGUUAUCUUAAGAAAUGGAAUCAGUUUCACCUUUACGUUGCUUUUUUUUUUGGUUUUUUUUUUUUAAUUUGCACUUAAGAAGCAAUAACAAUAAUUCUAGCGUAACAAACAUGUCAAUGUUAGUCUUUUCUUUUUAAUGCUGGAACACAAUUAGUAUUUGUAGGGAUUCCAGGUCGAUUUUUAAGGCAAGGUACACAAAGCAUUUAAUAAUAAUGCUUUAAUUCAUGAUUGAUUUCAACUUUCUAUGAGUUAAAUGUGAACGUGGGUUUAUUGACAUCAAGCUUUAAAGCAGUAUUAUGCUAAAUGAUACAUUUUGACCACAGCAAAUCUAACUAUGACAUGCUAAAGCAAUAUGCUUCAGAGGCCUGGUUUUCGAAAGUAUCAUAAGACAUACUUUAUGAUCAUCUUAUGAAUAUCAUACGCUUAUCAUAUGAUAGUCAUAGGAUGUAAAUCAAAACUGUCGUAAGAUAGACAUAGCUAUGAUGCUCUUAUGACUGUCAUUGGUGAACAUUAUUUUCCAAUUUUUUUUAAAUAUUGCUUUAAAAAACGAUAAAAAGAAAUAUAAAAUUGAAAAGUAUGAACAUAAUAAUUAUAACCAUUCUUAAUACUUACGAUUUUUUUUUUCAAAAUGAAAUUUUAUACGAGAAGGAAUUAAAAAUAUGAGUUGAUAAUUUGUUUAAAUUUAGUUUGUAAUAUAUAAUAAAUCUUGAACGUCUAGUUCGUAUAUAACACUAGUCUUGUUGUAUAAUUGUAAAUACUUUUGAGAAUCGGUACAUCGAGUACCCGCUUAAUGAAAUGUCCGUGCAAAUAUGUAAAAUAUAAUACUAUAUUAAUAUUAUGUAUAUUUAUUAGGCAUCAACGAGUACUCGAGUACUCGGGUACUCGAUCGGAAGGCCGACUACUCGAGUACAGUUUUAGUACUCGGAUACUCGAUUGCCUGUUAUACAUCUUGAUAUAUUUCUCUCCACAUUUCCGAUGACUUUAGUUCCGUUGAAAUAUCCCCUUUUUAAUACUAAAUAAAAUCAUAUAAUGUUAACAACAUAAAGAUGUUUAUCCUGAGUAUAUUAUUUGUUAUAGUAGUAUCAUCAACGUUCUUUCCUCCUGAAGGAAUGUUUUCUUGUGCACAACUUGUAACAAAAAAUAAAAAGUUCAACAGUCUUUUCGUCCGAAAUUGUUAACCAGAUCAUAUUUCUAAACAAGAACAAAAUCAAAGUGACCUGCGGUGAACCCUACGCAACUGAUAAGAGACAUUUUUAACGAUGUUUGCACACGGAUCUGACAACACUUUCAUAGAUUAAUAAUUAACUGAUCACAAGCCGUAAAAAAAUACCUUUGUUUGUUAAUCAAAACUUCUAUGUAAACGUGAUUGGUAUGAGAAGAUGUACAUUUAAACUAACUUAUUUACUCUGUAUUUGAAACUUAACCAUGUUAACUAUAAUUGUUUAAUUUACAAUUUAAAAUAUGCAAAAAUACGAAAGCGAUAUUCCAACCUAAAAGUCGAAAAUAAACAGGCAACGUCAUGGCUAAAAAAAUCAGACAACCGAUAGUGCAAAGAUACAAAACACAGAAAAAGUAAGACUGAACAACACGAAAAAACACAAUUAAAUUAAUCAAGUCGUAUUAUGAAAAAUACCAACUCCUCAUGAACAGACGAUACAUAUAUUAUCUACUUUGUCGGACUAAGUAUGCAAAUAUGUAGGAUUUUAUUGGAAAAUGGUUCAUGAACACGUAUAGAAAUAAUAAUUUCUAUUUUGAUUUGUAGAAACGGUGGUCGGUAAUUCAUUGUUUAAUUGACACAAAAAAGCAGAGGAUCACGCUAUUUUUGUAGUACGUUUGUCUUCCGUUAAUAUGUUUAUGAAAGGUUAUAACAAACACACUGCACGGCACAAAAUCUAAACUAUUCGAUUAGACGUUUAAAUUCAUCCGAGACUCGCGAGUAUGGAGAUAUUACUGGCACCAGUUUUUAAAGUUCAGAUCUUUUGACAUCCUUAAUAUUUAUGAUACAAAACCAUGAGUAAGAAAACACAACAAUAAUUUGUAAUGCGAUUAACAUGAAUUUAUACAAGAAAAGUAAUAAAAAUUUAAGUUGGCAAUCAUAAGACCAUCAUAAGUCAUCUCGCGAGGGGUCUUUAAUAAGUUUACGACAAAAGUUAUGACAAAUCAUAACUUGGGACACUUCCGAAAACAUAUCUUACGACUAUGACAUGUCCUAAAACCAUCACAAGACAUGUCUUAGUCAUAAGAUACUUUCGAAAACCAGGCCCCAGGACGACAAUCUAAAAAUCACACAUGCUUCACCUGCAAAACUGUUAUGCACGAAUGAUUUUGAAGUUUGGAGUAUGAUUGACUUUCUAUCUAGUCUAAAUAUUGUCUAGUUACAAUCAACUCAUUAUUUUGACGUCAGACUCGUUUUUCGUUAACAAAAUAUUCAUCAGUGACGCUGCAAUAAAAACAAAGUUCAAUGUCAUCAUUCAAAACAAUUAAAAUGUUUUUUGUAUAUUUUCCAAUUUGAAUUUAUAUAUAUAUAUAUAUAUCCGUCUAGAUUUAAAAAAAAUAUAUCUUUGGUAGCUUUGUCACUAUUUAUCUAUUAAAUUCUUAUUAUUACUGGUUUAAUUUCAUUAUCAUAUCCUAGAGCACGUGGUCGCUUUUUUGACAACAGAAAAAAAACCCACUUCGUAUGGCUUUUCUCAUAAUUUCCCGUUUCCAUAUUCUUAGAACUAAUCUAACGCACUGUACAGCUAGGAACAAUUAUGGUAGUUUAGGGAAGUACACAUCGUAUAUUAAAAACAUCACUUUCAUUUAAAGAAACUGUAAAAACUCUGAUAUUAAAUGAAUCAGGAUGCUUGAUUUACUAAUUGACAACAUAUGUGGGUACGCACUGUACGUCUCUUCUUGUCCGCUUGUUCUUUUAUUCAUAUGAUGUGAUCAUAUACAGUUACUUUUUUUAGAAGGAAUAAACAGAACAUAGCAUUAUUAAUGAGUUUUACGUCUGCUAUACAUUUUGUGUCGUCUUAUUAAAUAGUAAACUCUUUUUUGUUUUUUGUUUCUUGUUUUUUUUUUUAUAUCUUGAAAGCAUCUACUUGAAGUUGAAAAAAUGAUACAACAUAUACUGUUGAGUCUGCCUUGUGUCUUGACUUAGACCUAGAAGUUGAUGAGGGUUGGAUAAGACCACAAGUUACGAUGUGUUGGAGUCCAAACUCAAUGGCAACCUGUUUUUCUCGGUUGUAGACUUUGAAAUACAAGGAAUGAAAUCUAAACUUUAAUUCUACAUAUUAUGGCAUUUAGACUUAUUUUGCAGGCAUAUUAAGAUUCCAUUACUCUCUCGCCGGAAAUGAGUUCACUACAUUUGGAGUUCAUACCUUGCAAAGAUAAUAGAGCAAAAGAAAAAUGAUAAAAUAAUUACAAAAGUAGAAGCCUAAAACAAGGAGCUUUAUUCACGGGUUUGACACAUGUUCAAAUUUUAACCUCAGCUUUACCUAAAUAAUAAAUAAGUUUUACUUAAAUCUUUCCUUUUUUGUUACAGAAAAUUGGACAACAAUCAAAUAACCAUCAUACAACACGAUUCGUUUCAAGAGCUAACAGCACUUGACACCCUGUAUNNNNNNNNNNNNNNNNNNNNNNNNNNNNNNNNNNNNNNNNNNNNNNNNNNNNNNNNNNNNNNNNNNNNNNNNNNNNNNNNNNNNNNNNNNNNNNNNNNNNNNN
RNAcentral lists this long non-coding RNA (3855 nucleotides) under Mytilus galloprovincialis (Mediterranean mussel). The record is from RNAcentral. Lineage: Eukaryota; Metazoa; Mollusca; Bivalvia; Mytilida; Mytilidae.